CAGUAGCCGCGGUAAUACAGAGGGUGCAAGCGUUAAUCGGAUUUACUGGGCGUAAAGGGCGCGUAGGUGGUUAUUUAAGUCUGAUGUGAAAGCCCCCGGCUCAACCGGGGAGGGUCAUUGGAAACUGGGAAACUUGAGUGCAGAAGAGGAGAGUGGAAUUCCACGUGUAGCGGUGAAAUGCGUAGAGAUGUGGAGGAACACCAGUGGCGAAGGCGACUCUCUGGUCUGUAACUGACGCUGAGGAGCGAAAGCGUGGGGAGCGAACAGGAUUAGAGACCCCUGUAGUCCCUGUCUCUUAUAC
RNAcentral lists this ribosomal RNA (301 nucleotides) under uncultured bacterium. Its description in RNAcentral is "partial 16S ribosomal RNA". It matches the Rfam family "Bacterial small subunit ribosomal RNA", at positions 509 to 807 of the family's 1533-position model. The record is from RNAcentral.